GGCUGCGUGGUCUAAUGGUUAUGACGUCUGCUUCACAUCUUGGAUGGCUCGCUGAAGGUUCCCGGUUCGAUCCCGGGCGCGGUCA
Non-coding RNA from Cerrena zonata, 85 nucleotides. The record is from the annotation of a GenBank genome assembly. Lineage: Eukaryota; Fungi; Basidiomycota; Agaricomycetes; Polyporales; Cerrenaceae.